RNAcentral lists this ribosomal RNA (424 nucleotides) under uncultured bacterium. RNAcentral's name for it is "partial 16S ribosomal RNA". It matches the Rfam family "Bacterial small subunit ribosomal RNA", at positions 360 to 776 of the family's 1533-position model. The record is from RNAcentral.
AAUAUGCGACAAUGUGCGAAAGCCUGAUCCAGCCAUGUCGCGUGUUUUAAGAAGGUCUUCGGUUUNUAAAGUACUUUAAGUUGGGANGAAGGGGUUGAGGCAAAUACCUUCAAUCAUUGACGUUACCAACAGAAUAAGCACCGGCUAACUUUGUGCCAGCAGUCGCAGUAAUACAGAGGGUGCAAGCGUUAAUCGAAAUUACUUGGAGUAAAGCGCGUGUAGGUGAUUCAGUAAGAUGGAAGUGAAAUCCCCGGGUUUAACCUGGGAACUGCUUUCAUAACUGCUGAGCUACAGUACGAUAGAGGGUAGAGGAAUUUCCUGUGUAGCGGUGAAAUACGUAGAUAUAGGAAGUAACACCAGUGGCGAAGGCGACUACCUGGACUGAUACUAACACUGAGGUGCGAAAGCGUGGGGAUCAAACAGG